RNAcentral lists this ribosomal RNA (776 nucleotides) under Microbacterium aurantiacum. RNAcentral describes it as "partial 16S ribosomal RNA". It matches the Rfam family "Bacterial small subunit ribosomal RNA", at positions 46 to 835 of the family's 1533-position model. Lineage: Bacteria; Bacillati; Actinomycetota; Actinomycetes; Micrococcales; Microbacteriaceae. The record is from RNAcentral.
GCUUAACACAUGCAAGUCGAACGGUGAAGCCAAGCUUGCUUGGUGGAUCAGUGGCGAACGGGUGAGUAACACGUGAGCAACCUGCCCUGGACUCUGGGAUAAGCGCUGGAAACGGCGUCUAAUACUGGAUAUGAGCCCCUAUCGCAUGGUGGGGGUUGGAAAGAUUUUUUGGUCUGGGAUGGGCUCGCGGCCUAUCAGCUUGUUGGUGAGGUAAUGGCUCACCAAGGCGUCGACGGGUAGCCGGCCUGAGAGGGUGACCGGCCACACUGGGACUGAGACACGGCCCAGACUCCUACGGGAGGCAGCAGUGGGGAAUAUUGCACAAUGGGCGAAAGCCUGAUGCAGCAACGCCGCGUGAGGGAUGACGGCCUUCGGGUUGUAAACCUCUUUUAGCAGGGAAGAAGCGAAAGUGACGGUACCUGCAGAAAAAGCGCCGGCUAACUACGUGCCAGCAGCCGCGGUAAUACGUAGGGCGCAAGCGUUAUCCGGAAUUAUUGGGCGUAAAGAGCUCGUAGGCGGUUUGUCGCGUCUGCUGUGAAAUCCCGAGGCUCAACCUCGGGCCUGCAGUGGGUACGGGCAGACUAGAGUGCGGUAGGGGAGAUUGGAAUUCCUGGUGUAGCGGUGGAAUGCGCAGAUAUCAGGAGGAACACCGAUGGCGAAGGCAGAUCUCUGGGCCGUAACUGACGCUGAGGAGCGAAAGGGUGGGGAGCAAACAGGCUUAGAUACCCUGGUAGUCCACCCCGUAAACGUUGGGAACUAGUUGUGGGGACCAUUCC